Molecule: ribosomal RNA, 497 nt
Filed under: uncultured bacterium
Lineage: Bacteria
Description: partial 16S ribosomal RNA
Rfam family: Bacterial small subunit ribosomal RNA
Source: RNAcentral
GAUGAACGCUGGCGGCGUGCUUAACACAUGCAAGUCGAACGAAGCAUUUAGAACAGAUUAUUUCGGUAUGAAGUUCUUUAUGACUGAGUGGCGGACGGGUGAGUAACGCGUGGGUAACCUGCCUUGCACUGGGGGAUAGCAGCUGGAAACGGCUGGUAAUACCGCAUAAGCGCACAAUGUUGCAUGACAUGGUGUGAAAAACUCCGGUGGUAUAAGAUGGACCCGCGUCUGAUUAGCUAGUUGGUGAGAUAACAGCCCACCAAGGCGACGAUCAGUAGCCGACCUGAGAGGGUGACCCGCCACAGUGGGACUGAGACACGGCCCAGACUCCUACGGGAGGCAGCAGUGGGGAAUAUUGCACAAUGGAGGAAACUCUGAUGCAGCGACGCCGCGUGAGUGAAGAAGUAAUUCGUUAUGUAAAGCUCUAUCAGCAGGGAAGAUAGUGACGGUACCUGACUAAGAAGCUCCGGCUAAAUACGUGCCAGCCGCCGCCGUAA